Cygnus atratus (black swan) is the source of this 553-nucleotide long non-coding RNA. RefSeq lists it as uncharacterized. NCBI's taxonomy places the organism in Eukaryota, Metazoa, Chordata, Aves, Anseriformes, Anatidae. The transcript has 3 exons. The record is from RefSeq and is a predicted model, not a curated record.
UAAGCAACACCUCUGCAAGAUGUACAGCAGGGAUGCAGCGACAGGAGUGUCCCUGGGAUGUCCCUGGCACCACAACAGCAGCGAUGUGUGACCCCGGCGGCUUAGAAGGCCUUUGGCAUGCCUCCUUCCAAGAGGCUGAAGUGACUCACUCAGAGCCUCCUCUGAGAAGAAAUCGCUUCAUGGUGCUCAGGACUCGGAAGGAAAGCCAAAGAGAAAAGACUUCAAAACCAAGGAUUCAACAUGGGACCUGCUGCCAGGAUCCCCAGCUGCCGAGUGCCGGAUCCCCUGCCUGAAUGAAAGCCUGGCACAGAGACUCCUGCUGCUGUUGCUGAGUUUCCUCCUCUGUGCCCAAGACACCUGCUUUCCCAAGUGAGAAGCAAGUGCUGCUGAAAGACAAGAGGGCAAAAUAUGCACCAAAGAGCCAACCAUGCUGUGCAAUGUUGUAUUCAAGAUGCUGAGAGCCGGAAUGAAAGUGGGAGACAUUUCCAACAGGGUGAAGAAAAGGCUGAGCUGGUCCAACUAGUCCAACAACAGAAGAAAGUGAUGAGAAUGA